Molecule: ribosomal RNA, 949 nt
Filed under: uncultured bacterium
Lineage: Bacteria
Description: bacterial SSU rRNA
Rfam family: Bacterial small subunit ribosomal RNA
Source: RNAcentral
GUGCCAGCAGCCGCGGUGAUACGUAGGUGGCAAGCGUUGUCCGGAUUUAUUGGGCGUAAAGCGAGCGCAGGCGGUUUCUUAAGUCUGAUGUGAAAGCCCCCGGCUCAACCGGGGAGGGUCAUUGGAAACUGGGAGACUUGAGUGCAGAAGAGGAGAGUGGAAUUCCAUGUGUAGCGGUGAAAUGCGUAGAUAUAUGGAGGAACACCAGUGGCGAAGGCGGCUCUCUGGUCUGUAACUGACGCUGAGGCUCGAAAGCGUGGGGAGCAAACAGGAUUAGAUACCCUGGUAGUCCACGCCGUAAACGAUGAGUGCUAAGUGUUGGAGGGUUUCCGCCCUUCAGUGCUGCAGCUAACGCAUUAAGCACUCCGCCUGGGGAGUACGACCGCAAGGUUGAAACUCAAAGGAAUUGACGGGGGCCCGCACAAGCAGUGGAGCAUGUGGUUUAAUUCGAAGCAACGCGAAGAACCUUACCAGGUCUUGACAUCCUUUGACCACUCUAGAGAUAGAGCUUCCCCUUCGGGGGCAAAGUGACAGGUGGUGCAUGGUUGUCGUCAGCUCGUGUCGUGAGAUGUUGGGUUAAGUCCCGCAACGAGCGCAACCCUUAUUGUUAGUUGCCAUCAUUCAGUUGGGCACUCUAGCAAGACUGCCGGUGACAAACCGGAGGAAGGUGGGGAUGACGUCAAAUCAUCAUGCCCCUUAUGACCUGGGCUACACACGUGCUACAAUGGGAAGUACAACGAGUUGCGAAGUCGCGAGGCUAAGCUAAUCUCUUAAAGCUUCUCUCAGUUCGGAUUGCAGGCUGCAACUCGCCUGCAUGAAGCCGGAAUCGCUAGUAAUCGCGGAUCAGCACGCCGCGGUGAAUACGUUCCCGGGCCUUGUACACACCGCCCGUCACACCACGAGAGUUUGUAACACCCGAAGUCGGUGAGGUAACCUUUUUGGAGCCAGC